AACGAGCGCUGGCGGCAUGCCUAAUACAUGCAAGUCGAACGAGAUCUUCGGAUCUAGUGGCGCACGGGUGCGUAACGCGUGGGAAUCUGCCCUUGGGUUCGGAAUAACUUCUGGAAACGGAAGCUAAUACCGGAUGAUGACGUAAGUCCAAAGAUUUAUCGCCCAAGGAUGAGCCCGCGUAGGAUUAGGUAGUUGGUGAGGUAAAGGCUCACCAAGCCGACGAUCCUUAGCUGGUCUGAGAGGAUGAUCAGCCACACUGGGACUGAGACACGGCCCAGACUCCUACGGGAGGCAGCAGUAGGGAAUAUUGGACAAUGGGCGAAAGCCUGAUCCAGCAAUGCCGCGUGAGUGAUGAAGGCCUUAGGGUUGUAAAGCUCUUUUACCCGGGAUGAUAAUGACAGUACCGGGAGAAUAAGCUCCGGCUAACUCCGUG
This 433-nucleotide ribosomal RNA is filed under the name uncultured bacterium. Its description in RNAcentral is "partial 16S ribosomal RNA". It matches the Rfam family "Bacterial small subunit ribosomal RNA", at positions 29 to 507 of the family's 1533-position model. The record is from RNAcentral.